This 240-nucleotide unclassified non-coding RNA is filed under the name soil metagenome. RNAcentral describes it as "partial contains 5.8S ribosomal RNA, internal transcribed spacer 2, and large subunit ribosomal RNA". The record is from RNAcentral.
AAGACUAUAGACCUGCGGAGUACCUGCGGAGGGAUCAUUACCGAGUGCGGGCCCUCUGGGUCCAACCUCCCACCCGUGUUUAUUGUACCUUGUUGCUUCGGCGGGCCCGCCAUUCUGGCCGCCGGGGGGCUUGCCCCCGGGCCCGCGCCCGCCGAGGACACCCUCGAACUCUGUCUGAAGAUUGUAGUCUGAGUGGAAUUAUAAAUUAUUAAAACUUUUAACAAUGGAUCUCUAGAUCGG